RNAcentral lists this transfer RNA (72 nucleotides) under Thermoproteota archaeon. Its description in RNAcentral is "Crenarchaeota archaeon (sediment metagenome) tRNA-Ala". It matches the Rfam family "tRNA". From Rfam's summary of the family: Transfer RNA (tRNA) molecules are approximately 80 nucleotides in length. Their secondary structure includes four short double-helical elements and three loops (D, anti-codon, and T loops). Lineage: Archaea; Thermoproteati; Thermoproteota. The record is from RNAcentral.
GGGCCGGUAGUUCAGUGGUAGAAUGUCCGUUUCGCAUACGGAAGGUCGAGGGUUCGAAUCCCUCCCGGUCCA